Molecule: ribosomal RNA, 376 nt
Filed under: uncultured bacterium
Lineage: Bacteria
Description: bacterial SSU rRNA
Rfam family: Bacterial small subunit ribosomal RNA
Source: RNAcentral
UACAGAGGGGGCAAGCGUUAUUCGGAAUUAUUGGGCGUAAAGGGCGCGUAGGCGGUGUCUUAAGUGAGAUGUGUAAUCCCCGAGCUUAACUUGGGAACUGCAUCUCAGACUGGGGCGCUAGAGUACUGGAGAGGGUGGUAGAAUUCCACGUGUAGCGGUGAAAUGCGUAGAGAUGUGGAGGAAUACCAGUGGCGAAGGCGGCCACCUGGACAGUAACUGACGCUGAGGCGCGAAAGUGUGGGGAGCAAACAGGAUUAGAUACCCUGGUAGUCCACGCUGUAAACGAUGAACACUUGGUGUGGCGGGAGUUGACCCCUGCCGUGCCGGAGCUAACGCGAUAAGUGUUCCGCCUGGGGAGUACGGUCGCAAGGCUGAA